Daphnia pulex (common water flea) is the source of this 1067-nucleotide long non-coding RNA. RefSeq lists it as uncharacterized. Lineage: Eukaryota; Metazoa; Arthropoda; Branchiopoda; Diplostraca; Daphniidae. The transcript has 2 exons. The record is from RefSeq and is a predicted model, not a curated record.
GCUUUGUUGCUGAAACAGAAACUGGCAGUUAUCACCCAAAAUUUCGUUAUAGUGGAAGCGAGAAAUUUCUUCAGAGAUGUGCAAAGUAAACGUAACUAAACUGAUGCUUCUUACAGUGGACUGCAUAAACGUAACUAAACUGAUGCUUCUUAUUAUGGUGGAAAAUGAUCAAAGGCUAUGCAGCGUCAGAAAGAAGAAACGUUUAAAAGAAACAUAAAACUUAAAAGCAAUAUCCGCUCUAGCUCGUUAUCAGUUAACACUUAAUUGAAAGAUCCAACAAACAAAGGCAAAUAUAUUUGAUACUCACGUAAUAUUCUCCCCUCCAAAUUUGUAUCUCGUCUUCACCAAAAAAGCCACCACCGCAGCACCACACAAAACAAGAGACGAAAUCCCCAAGGUGAUAAUGGACGUCAGUCCAACUUCUACAGUGAGGAGAAGGAAGAGCUCUUUUUGACAUUCGUUUAUGGCAUCUGUAAGUGAUUCACCCGUUUUAGCACCCGAGCAACAGCACUUGGACAGUGGAUUGCUGAUAAAAAAAUACGUGUUGGUAACUGCAAAUGUUAACUGUUAAGUCAAUCGCAAAAGGUGAAGAUGAAAAAGACCUUUCCACACUAUCCUGUCUCACAACAGCUGCAUGUUUGCCAACUUUGGUGAUAGACAAUAAUAAUGAGAAGUUUGAAACCUUUUCUGAGAACUUAAGUAACAGAAAGGCAUGUCAACAAUUCAAAAUAUUCCAUGUUGACACACUUCGUGCCUGAAGACAUUUGUAUUACUUUCAUAAAACAUUAUCUUAAAACACUUCAAAAGUAAUUGGUAUCAGAAAAUAUCUUUUAAGAAUCUGGAAAUGUUCUGCUAUUUCAUAGAAUUAGUUCCUUCUAUAAAAAAAAAAAGAACUUGUGAUAAAAAAAUCUUUUUCCUCUUUUACGAUUGUACGUCUCUUUGAAAUAAAACUGUUCAUAAAAAUAAAAUGGGGUUUUAAAACUAAUGACUUGUCGUCAACAAGAAAUAAGGGGAAAACUUUUGUUAAAAACAUUAAGAUAGCCGUUAUCGCUAUGGUCCUAGCGAUC